Molecule: ribosomal RNA, 266 nt
Filed under: Rhizophagus intraradices
Lineage: Eukaryota; Fungi; Glomeromycota; Glomeromycetes; Glomerales; Glomeraceae
Source: RNAcentral
CAGUCGCGUUCUCUGGGAUUCAGCCUUGCUUCUUGCUUGGUGCAUUUCCUAGUCUACGGGCCAGCAUGAAUCUUGAGCGGUGGAAAAGGGUCUUGGGAAUGUGGCCGGUUCGCCGGUGUUAAGCCCUGGACUUGAUACGGCUCAGACUGAGGAACGCAGCUCGCAGCAAUGCCGGGGUUCGCCCACGUACGAGCUUAGGAUGUUGACAUAAUGGCUUUAAACGCCCGUCUUGAAACACGGACCAAGGAGUCUAACAUAUAUGCGAG